Armigeres subalbatus is the source of this 535-nucleotide long non-coding RNA. RefSeq lists it as uncharacterized. The transcript is spliced from 2 exons. The record is from RefSeq and is a predicted model, not a curated record. NCBI's taxonomy places the organism in Eukaryota, Metazoa, Arthropoda, Insecta, Diptera, Culicidae.
UAAAUUUGACAACACGAGCUUUUAAAAAUCACUUUGACUGACAACUGAUUCUUUUUAUCUCUUCUGUUGUCCUCAAUUUUUGCCAACUACGAUAGUUACCGCGCAAGUUUACUUUUCAAAGUUCCGAAAAGAAAUACUUGAUUCUCUUCAGUUUAACGCGUUUUACGCCAUAUUCGGACGACAUAAGAAUCUAUUUAAAGGCCAGAAAUGGUUCCCAUUUCUUGUUUUUACCUGCACAUGCUACGGGCAUAUGAUUCAACCUGGAAACACAAAUCAAGACAUCGUCGGAACGCCUGUGAAGAAAAUGCAUACGAUCCUCAGGAGCUGCUGUUGGGCGCAGUAAACGGAAAAGCGCACGUUUGAUGUUUUGCUGCUGAUAGUGACCUCUCGAUCCCUACCGGAUUUCCCGCAGCAGCGUUGAAAAAGUCUCCGAAACAACGUUCUGCCACAACAAAAAUGCAAAUUAUUUAAAAUAAUUGAUUAUAACAAUGAAAUAAAAAGAAUUAAUUUGAAAUGAAAGGGUGAAUUAAAGAAA